Molecule: ribosomal RNA, 527 nt
Filed under: Neurolestes trinervis
Lineage: Eukaryota; Metazoa; Arthropoda; Insecta; Odonata; Argiolestidae
Description: partial 16S ribosomal RNA
Rfam family: Bacterial large subunit ribosomal RNA
Source: RNAcentral
GUCCUCUCGUUUUUAUGGGAGGUCAGACCUGCCCGGUGAAAUUGUUUAACGGCCGCGGUAUUUUGACCGUGCAAAGGUAGCAUAAUCAUUAGUCUUUUAAUAGGAGGCUGGAAUGAAAGGUUUGACGAAAUAAUUACUGUCUCAUUUAAAUGAGUUUGAAUUUAACUUUUAAGUUAAAAAGCUUAAAUUUUGUUGGAAGACGAGAAGACCCUAUAGAGCUUUAUAUUUAAUUAUUAGAUUUUUAUUGUUAUAAUGAUAUCUUUUAUUUAUUUAUUUUGUUGGGGUGACAAGGAAUAUAUUUAUAACUUUCAUUAUUUUUAUUACAUUUAUUUAUGAAUAUUAGAUCCAUUAUUAUUGAUUAUUAGAAUAAGUUACCUUAGGGAUAACAGCGUAAUCCUCUUUUGGAGUUCAAAUUUACAAGAGGGCUUGCGACCUCGAUGUUGGAUUAAGAUAAUAAUCAGGUGCAGUAGCUUGAUUAAUAGGUCUGUUCGACCUUUAAAUUCUUACAUGAUCUGAGUUCAGACCGG